This 23-nucleotide non-coding RNA is filed under the name Cricetulus griseus (Chinese hamster). The record is from RNAcentral. Lineage: Eukaryota; Metazoa; Chordata; Mammalia; Rodentia; Cricetidae.
AUAGGAAUGUAAGCUGUCAAGGA